Molecule: ribosomal RNA, 279 nt
Filed under: uncultured archaeon
Lineage: Archaea
Description: partial 16S rRNA
Rfam family: Archaeal small subunit ribosomal RNA
Source: RNAcentral
AAGACCUGUACCUAUAAUUGCAAACGGGCCCUUCGGGGUGACUGUGCACAUUAUAGGGACUGCCUUCGUAAGGAGGAGGAAGGUGCAGGCAACGGUAGGUCUGUAUGCUCCGAAUCUGCUGGGCUACACGCGCGCAACAAUGGUAAGGACAAUGGGAUACAACUCCGAAAGGAGAAGUUAACCCUCUAAACCUUAUCCAAGUCCAGAUUGAGGAUUGUAACUCAUCCUCAUGACGUUGGAAUCCCUAGUAAUCGGAUUUCAUCACAGUCCGGUGAAUAU